This is a non-coding RNA of Castor canadensis (American beaver), 205 nucleotides long. Lineage: Eukaryota; Metazoa; Chordata; Mammalia; Rodentia; Castoridae. The record is from RefSeq and is a predicted model, not a curated record.
UUCAGAUCAGGAUGUAGCACUCAAACUUGCCCAGGAACGAGCUGAAAUAGUUGCUAAAUAUGACAGAGGACGAGAAGGUGCAGAGAUUGAACCUUGGGAAGAUGCUGAUUACCUUGUUUACAAAGUCACCGAUAGAUUUGGCUUUUUACAUGAGGAAGAGCUCCCAUAUCACAAUGCAGCCAUGGAACGGGUAAGUCCAGUUCUU